This 497-nucleotide ribosomal RNA is filed under the name uncultured bacterium. RNAcentral describes it as "partial 16S ribosomal RNA". It matches the Rfam family "Bacterial small subunit ribosomal RNA", at positions 28 to 507 of the family's 1533-position model. The record is from RNAcentral.
GAUGAACGCUGGCGGCGUGCCUAAUACAUGCAAGUCGAGCGAACAGAUGAGGAUCUUGCUCCUCUGACGUUAGCGGCGGACGGGUGAGUAACACGUGGAUAACCUACCUAUAAGACUGGGAUAACUUCGGGAAACCUGAGCUAAUACCGGAUAAUAUAUUGAACCGCAUGGUUCAAUAGUGAAAUACGGUUUUUCUGUCACUUAUAGAUGGAUCCGCGCCGCAUUAGCUAGUUGGUAAGGUAACGGCUUACCAAGGCAACGAUGCGUAGCCGACCUGAGAGGGUGAUCGGCCACACUGGAACUGAGAAACGGUACAGACUCCUACGGGAGGCAGCAGUAGGGAAUCUUACGCAAUGGGCGAGAGCGUGACGGAGCAAAGCCGCGUGAGUGAUGAAGGUCUUCGGAUCGUAAAACUCUGUUAUUAGGGAAGAACAAAUGUGUAAGUAACUAUGCACGUCUUGACGGUACCUAAUCAGAAAGCCACGGCUAACUACGUG